UUUCCGUAGGUGAACCUGCGGAAGGAUCAUAAAAGAGAAUAUGCCCUUCGGGGUAGAUCUCCCACCCUUUGUUUAUAUUACCUUUGUUGCUUUGGCAGGCCCGUCUUCGGACCACCGGCUUCGGCUGGUCAGUGCUUGCCAGAGGACCCAAAACUCUUAUUAUUAAUGUCGUCUGAGUACUAUAUAAUAGUUAAAACUUUCAACAACGGAUCUCUUGGUUCUG
Molecule: unclassified non-coding RNA, 223 nt
Filed under: plant metagenome
Description: partial contains small subunit ribosomal RNA, internal transcribed spacer 1, and 5.8S ribosomal RNA
Source: RNAcentral